GUACUGUACACUUUCUCUUCCUCCCUUCCCUUCCGACUUGCCCAAUCUUUGAAUCAUUGUCAAGUUCUCAAGUGAGGAUCUUGAGAGUCAACCAAAGAAGAGCAGAAACCAGGGAAAAGCAAUCCCCACUCCCCCACGCCCUGUAGGCAACAAAGGACUGACUAUUCUGAAGUUUCAUCUUAAGGAGCCUGCUAACCCCCAGAAGUAUCCAAGACGCGGGUGGGGUUACACUUUAUACCUCUUGCUACUUUGUACUGCUCAAAGACCACUGGGAGCAAUAGUGACCCAACUUGACUCCAGACACCGCAAUGACCUCCACUACAUUGUCAAAUGGGAAUAUUGAGAGGACGCAUCUCUAUCUUAUCCCGUGAACUUCAACUUUUGACUGUUAAUAAUGAUGUUUGCUGAAGGUUUUUCAGAUUAACGAAUAUCUCUUCUAUUCCUAGUUUGCUUUAGUUGCAUUCCAGAAGUUUUAAAACAUAACCUUUUCAUCAUAUUCAGUUCUAUGUAUUUUUAAAUUUCCAUUAUAUAUUUUCUUUGAUCUAUGAAUUAUUUAAAGUAUGUUUUUCAUUUCCAAAUGUAAGGCUUUUUUUAAUUAAUGUUUUUUGUCAUUGAUUUCUAACAAUUACUUUUGAUAUUUAUUCAUAGAAAAUUCCAUAAUUGUUUAAAAAGAGGCAAUAAUCUCCAACUGCUGAGUGCCACGUUCUCUAUAUGCCAUUUUAUCAAGUUUAUUAAUGUGUUCACGUCUUUUACAUCCUCACUGACUUUUAGCUGCUUAAUCUCUGAAUUGCCAAGAGAAAUGUUAAAAAUCUCCCACUGGCACAGUGGAUCUGUCUAUCUCCCCUCUUAGUGCUGCAAUUGUUUACUUUAUGUAUUUUGAGGAGAUAUAUAUAAAUAAUGUUACAAGUCUAGAAUUGUUAUAUUUGUGUGAAAUUAAGCAUCUUACCAUUGUGUGGUG
This 958-nucleotide long non-coding RNA is filed under the name Equus caballus (horse). Its description in RNAcentral is "lncRNA (ENSECAG00000054375.1)". The record is from RNAcentral. Lineage: Eukaryota; Metazoa; Chordata; Mammalia; Perissodactyla; Equidae.